RNAcentral lists this ribosomal RNA (496 nucleotides) under uncultured bacterium. Its description in RNAcentral is "partial 16S ribosomal RNA". It matches the Rfam family "Bacterial small subunit ribosomal RNA", at positions 28 to 507 of the family's 1533-position model. The record is from RNAcentral.
GAUGAACGCUGGCGGCGUGCCUAAUACAUGCAAGUCGAGCGAACGGACGAGAAGCUUGCUUCUCUGAUGUUAGCGGCGGACGGGUGAGUAACACGUGGAUAACCUACCUAUAAGACUGGGAUAACUUCGGGAAACCGGAGCUAAUACCGGAUAAUAUUUUGAACCGCAUGGUUCAAAAGUAAAAGACGGUCUUGCUGUCACUUAUAGAUGGAUCCGCGCUGCAUUGCUAGUUGGUAAGGUAACGGCUUACCAAGGCAACGAUGCAUAGCCGACCUGAGAGGGUGAUCGGCCACACUGGAACUGAGACACGGUCCAGACUCCUACGGGAGGCAGCAGUAGGGAAUCUUCCGCAAUGGGCGAAAGCCUGACGGAGCAACGCCGCGUGAGUGAUGAAGGUCUUCGGAUCGUAAAACUCUGUUAUUAGGGAAGAACAUAUGUGUAAGUAACUGUGCACAUCUUGACGGUACCUAAUCAGAAAGCCACGGCUAACUACGUG